This is a long non-coding RNA of Erinaceus europaeus (western European hedgehog), 661 nucleotides long. RefSeq lists it as uncharacterized. The record is from RefSeq and is a predicted model, not a curated record. NCBI's taxonomy places the organism in Eukaryota, Metazoa, Chordata, Mammalia, Eulipotyphla, Erinaceidae. The transcript has 2 exons.
AUUUCACAAACUUGUAAAGACUUAACAACAGUCUUUUUGCUUCUGGUAUCAUUACCACAACAGUAAAGUUAGCAUCCAGAAGAAGGCAUAUCCAGUCCAUAAUCUGUAGAUGAGUAAGAAAAAUCAAGGUUUUAAAGUUCAUUUUACAUUGAUUCAUUUUAUAAAACCGAUUGUUAAAUUCAAGGUAUAAGGGAAAUAAAUUUUCUUUAUAAAAGUCUGAAUACUGUGGUCCAGGAGUUGGCGCAGUGGAUAAAGUGUUGGACUUUCAAGCAUGAGGUCCCGAGUUCAAUCCCUAGCAGUACAUGUCUCAGAGUGAUGUCUAGUUAUUUCUCUCUCCUAUCAUCUCAUGAAAUAAAUAAAUAAAAAUCUUAAAAAAAAAAAAAAAAAAAGUCUGCGGAGUUGGGCAGUAGCACAGCAGGUUAAGCGCAGGUGGCGCAAAGCGCAAAGACCGGCAUAAGGAUCCCGGUUCAAGCCCCCGGCUCCCCACCUGCAGGGGAGUCGCUUCCCAGGCAGUGAAGCAGGUCUGCAGGUGUCUGUCAUUCUCUCCCCCUCUCUGUCUUCCCCUCCUCUCUCCAUGUCUCUCUGUCCUAUCCAACAAUGAUAUCAAUAACAACAAUAAUAACUGCAAUAAUAAAACAAGGGCAACAAAAAGGAAUACAUU